This 606-nucleotide ribosomal RNA is filed under the name uncultured bacterium. RNAcentral's name for it is "bacterial SSU rRNA". It matches the Rfam family "Bacterial small subunit ribosomal RNA", at positions 182 to 807 of the family's 1533-position model. The record is from RNAcentral.
GAAAGCGCAUGCUUUUUGUUUGAAAACCAAGGUGGUAUGGGAUGGACCCGCGUCUGAUUAGCUGGUUGGCGGGGUAAAGGCCCAUCAAGGCGACGAUCAGUAGCCGGCCUGAGAGGGUGGACGGCCACAUUGGGACUGAGACACGGCCCAAACUCCUACGGGAGGCAGCAGUGGGGAAUAUUGCACAAUGGGGGAAACCCUGAUGCAGCGACGCCGCGUGAGUGAAGAAGUAAUUCGUUAUGUAAAGCUCUAUCAGCAGGGAAGAAAAUGACGGUACCUGAGUAAGAAGCCCCGGCUAACUACGUGCCAGCAGCCGCGGUAAUACGUAGGGGGCAAGCGUUAUCCGGAUUUACUGGGUGUAAAGGGAGCGUAGACGGCAGUGCAAGUCUGGAGUGAAAGGCGGGGGCUCAACCCCCGGACUGCUCUGGAAACUGUACGGCUGGAGUGCAGGAGAGGUAAGUGGAAUUCCUAGUGUAGCGGUGAAAUGCGUAGAUAUUAGGAGGAACACCAGUGGCGAAGGCGGCUUACUGGACUGUAACUGACGUUGAGGCUCGAAAGCGUGGGGAGCAGACAGGAUUAGAUACCCUGGUAGUCCACGCCGUAAAC